This 267-nucleotide ribosomal RNA is filed under the name uncultured bacterium. Its description in RNAcentral is "partial 16S ribosomal RNA". It matches the Rfam family "Bacterial small subunit ribosomal RNA", at positions 87 to 354 of the family's 1533-position model. The record is from RNAcentral.
UAAUCUUAGUGGCGGACGGGUGAGUAACGCGUGGGUAACCUGCCUUACACUGGGGGAUAACACUUAGAAAUAGGUGCUAAUACCGCAUAAGCGCACGAAGCCGCAUGGAUUUGUGUGAAAAACUCCGGUGGUGUAAGAUGGACCCGCGUCUGAUUAGCUUGUUGGCGGGGUAACGGCCCACCAAGGCGACGAUCAGUAGCCGGCCUGAGAGGGUAGACGGCCACAUUGGGACUGAGACACGGCCCAAACUCCUACGGGAGGCAGCAG